This 911-nucleotide ribosomal RNA is filed under the name uncultured bacterium. Its description in RNAcentral is "bacterial SSU rRNA". It matches the Rfam family "Bacterial small subunit ribosomal RNA", at positions 1 to 907 of the family's 1533-position model. The record is from RNAcentral.
UAGAGUUUGAUCCUGGCUCAGGAUGAACGCUAGCGACAGGCUUAACACAUGCAAGUCGAGGGGCAGCGGGGAGGUAGCAAUACUUCCGCCGGCGACCGGCGCACGGGUGAGUAACACGUAUGGAACCUGCCCGUAGCAGGGGGAUAAACGGAAGAAAUUCCGUCUAAUACCGCGUAAUAACUCCGAGAGGCAUCUCAUGGAGUUUAAAGGGUAACACCGGCUACGGAUGGCCAUGCGGCGCAUUAGCUAGUUGGCGGGGUAACGGCCCACCAAGGCGACGAUGCGUAGGGGUUCUGAGAGGAAGGUCCCCCACACUGGUACUGAGACACGGACCAGACUCCUACGGGAGGCAGCAGUGAGGAAUAUUGGUCAAUGGGCGCGAGCCUGAACCAGCCAAGUCGCGUGAGGGAAGACGGUCCUAUGGAUUGUAAACCUCUUUUGUCGGGGAGCAAAAGACGCCACGUGUGGCGUUCCGAGAGUACCCGAAGAAAAAGCAUCGGCUAACUCCGUGCCAGCAGCCGCGGUAAUACGGAGGAUGCGAGCGUUAUCCGGAUUUAUUGGGUUUAAAGGGUGCGCAGGCGGAAGAUCAAGUCAGCGGUAAAAUUGAGAGGCUCAACCUCUUCGAGCCGUUGAAACUGGUUUUCUUGAGUGAGCGAGAAGUAUGCGGAAUGCGUGGUGUAGCGGUGAAAUGCAUAGAUAUCACGCAGAACUCCGAUUGCGAAGGCAGCAUACCGGCGCUCAACUGACGCUCAUGCACGAAAGUGUGGGUAUCGAACAGGAUUAGAUACCCUGGUAGUCCACACAGUAAACGAUGAAUACUAAUUGUUCGGGGAGAAUGAUCCCUGAGUGAUACAGCGAAAGCGUUAAGUAUUCCACCUGGGGAGUACGCCGGCAACGGUGAAACUCAAAGG